GACGAACGCUGGCGGCGUGCCUAAUACAUGCAAGUAGAACGCUGAAGAGAGGAGCUUGCUCUUCUUGGAUGAGUUGCGAACGGGUGAGUAACGCGUAGGUAACCUGCCUUGUAGCGGGGGAUAACUAUUGGAAACGAUAGCUAAUACCGCAUAACAAUAGGUGACACAUGUCAUUUAUUUGAAAGGGGCAAUUGCUCCACUACAAGAUGGACCUGCGUUGUAUUAGCUAGUAGGUGAGGUAACGGCUCACCUAGGCGACGAUACAUAGCCGACCUGAGAGGUUGAUCGGCCACACUGGGACUGAGACACGGCCCAGACUCCUACGGGAGGCAGCAGUAGGGAAUCUUCGGCAAUGGGGGCAACCCUGACCGAGCAACGCCGCGUGAGUGAAGAAGGUUUUCGGAUCGUAAAGCUCUGUUGUAAGUCAAGAACGAGUGUGAGAGUGGAAAGUUCACACUGUGACGGUAGCUUACCAGAAAGGGACGGCUAACUACGUG
RNAcentral lists this ribosomal RNA (497 nucleotides) under uncultured bacterium. RNAcentral describes it as "partial 16S ribosomal RNA". It matches the Rfam family "Bacterial small subunit ribosomal RNA", at positions 28 to 507 of the family's 1533-position model. The record is from RNAcentral.